Long non-coding RNA from Vigna angularis (adzuki bean), 1422 nucleotides. RefSeq lists it as uncharacterized. NCBI's taxonomy places the organism in Eukaryota, Viridiplantae, Streptophyta, Magnoliopsida, Fabales, Fabaceae. The record is from RefSeq and is a predicted model, not a curated record. The transcript has 2 exons.
GCGCGAAGGUUGAGAGGGAGAGUGUGACCUAGAGAGAGGCCGAGAGAGUUGGAGAAAGGGCAUUCGAGAGAGAGAGAGGUCCAACGGAGUGCUUGCCGGAGUGCCGCCGGACAACGUUGAAGGCCUGUCGGAGCUAUUCAAGCCCUCCAGCCGGUAUCGAUUGACGGCCGCCGCAGCUCCGACGUUGGCCAACGAAGCGAAGACGGGAUCGUGUUCCGUCCGGCCCAGCGAAGUAGGGGCGCGUUCAAGGUCUCGCUUCGUCCCACCUGCUUCCGUCCCUGUGUCGGAGCGCCGCCGUAGCGUCGCCGGAGCAUCGCCGGAGUGUGGACUGUUCGGUGGACGAAAAAGAGGGGUUUUCCGAGUUGUUAGUCCCACCCACACAUUUUUCUUCCUGUGUGUUCGAACCGGCACACGUGUUCAUUGAAGGCAAUUUGCGUGUAUUGGAGAAGUACUUAACUACUAAGAGGGGGAACCAAGGAAAAGAUACAAAAGCAGGAGGCUAAGGGAGUAAGGAAGGCACCUCGCACCUGGGCGUGACAAAGGGGCGCCGGGCGCGACAUUCCAGAGAGUCUCGCGCCCGGGCGUGACAAAGGGACGCUCGCUCGCCCAGGAGAACGAACGCUCGUCCAGUAUGGACGCACUAGAGGACGCACGUCCAGCGAGAAGAGGACGCUCGCCCUGUGGACGCACGAGAGAACGCUCGCCCAGAGAGAAGUGGACGCUCGUCCAGCAAAUACGUUCAGUGGAAGACGUCCAGCGAAGACGCGCAGUGGACGCUCGUCCAGCGAAGACGCGCAGUGGACGCUCGUCCAGCGAAGACGCGCGCUGGACGCUCGUCCAGCGAAGACGCGCAGUGGACGCUCGUCCAGCGAAGACGCGCAGUGGACGCUCGUCCUGCGAAGACGCGUAGUGGACGCUCGUCCAGCGAAGACGCGCAGUGGACGCUCGUCCAGCGAGGACACCCAAUGGGCGCUCGUCCAGCGCGCUAAGAGGACGCUCGUCCAGAUUGGCGCUCAGUGGACGCUCGGCAGCGAGAAGUGGACGCUCGUCCACGCUCAGUGGAAGCUGUUUUUCCAGAGAGUUUCACGCCCGGGCGCGCGACUGAGAGGGCGCCGGCGCGACUUUUGCUGAUGUGUCAAAAUGCCUAUUUAUUCAAGUGGUCUCGAAGCAUUUGGGGAUCUUUGGCUGCCCUAACACGAUUUCUCUCAUUUGGAGCUCUUGGAGGCGAGACAGGAGCUGUGGGAACAGUCCUUCUUCAACCUUGGGUCUUCUUCCUUCUUCCAUUUCCACCAUUGUUGUAAGCUUGAGCUCUCCAUUCAUGGAGAGUUAGUUUCAUUAUUGUUGGGGGAUUGAUGUAGCCACUGAAAUCUUAUGUAAACUACUAUGUUUUGAAUGAAUUUAUGCCUCUUUCAUUGAUUGUUA